AAACAUAACUUGGUAAUAUUGUUCUUUAGUAGUAUUUGACUGGUAAUUUUUCGUCUCAGGCAUAAAAAAAAAAAGAAUAGUUCACAUUAGGAAAAUGUUAGCAAGCUAUUUCUUAUUAUCAUUUUUCCUGCUACUUAAACUAUCCACUCCUCUUUUAUGUUUAUAAUGGUCUCUGAACUGCUAAUCUCGUGGGUUCAUCAAUGAUAAUGGAGCUUUUCACAUAUCACACUGAGGUUGCAUUGAGGACGUUAGCUAAGUGUGGAUGGGAGGACAGGCAGGAAACCUGACUGCAGUUCAUCACCGUUAUACAGGAAGGACUGCUGGAAAAAGGGAAAAAUCUGCAAACCAGGCAAACAUUUGAUAGCGCUGUCACUGAAAUGUGCAAAGACAACUGGCAGAAGGCAGCUUGGGGCCACAUAACUGCCACAGCAGGCGGCUGGGCUCUCCCCCUUUGCUCCUGAAAGUUAUCCUCCCACCUCUUUUAAUCCACCCUCACUCCACUUUGGCCCUAAUCCUCUCAUUCCUCCCUGUUUUUAUCUUCCUCCUGUUUAACUCCCUCUCGGCCUCCCCUCUUCCUCCAUCCCUCCUUUGUCUCUAAGAACCCGAACGCUCCAGUGAAGCAUAUUGAAAAUGAAGACUUGACACAUAUGGUUAAAAGGAAUCCAAGGAACACAACUCAGGGAGCUUAAAGUUAUAUUUUCCAUGCUUAAAAGUAGUACUGUGCACAAGAAAUAGGAAAUGCACAGCGACAUCUGCCUCAACACGAUGAAGAUUCCCUGGAAAUGAAGGAAAACGAAACCUUCUUGUGAAAUCCUGCUGAGUGGAUUGUUAUUGACAUCAGUCGGAAGCAAAAAAAGAAGGAGAAGAUAAAAAACAGUCCAGCUCUGCUGUUUGGAUAACCAAAAAUGUCAAGCUGGUCCAGUAGUGGAAGAGCAGCGAGGAGCUUCCUGCAGCCCAAGGAGCUCUGGAGGAAUAGCAUGGAAUAAGUGUGUGUGUGAGCUCGUGUCUUCAUGUGGGUACAAGUUUGUAUGUCUUCUUACUCUUGUGUGCAUGUGUGUCUAUUUGUGACACGUAAUGCAGCAGGACCACACAGUCCUUGUGGUAUGCGGGAUUUCCAGGUUCAAAAUAGGCUCCUGCUGUGGGAGGAGGGCAGGAACAAACAGGAGAGAGGGGGAGAAGGGAAGGAGAAGUGUAAUGAGGACAACAAAAUACACGACUCCAGUUUUCAUCUUCUUGUCAACAUUGUUACAGUUGAGUCAACCGCUUGUCAACAAGGGGAAGUUUCUGUGGUUUACUGACAUGACAGCUGUCAUGGUGUCACAGAUGGAAAGUGGCCAGAUCUAUUUAAUUGGCGUGUUGGGAGGGAAAGAAGCACUACUGCAUUGCAAACAGCUUAAGAGAAAAGUCAAACUCCUAAUGGAUGAAAAUAUUUCUUCACUCUGAUCAAAGUGAGGAACCGGAGGCCUAAACAGUGAUCAAACCUCUUUUGAACUGUAUUUCAAAUAUUGUAUGAACGAAAUCCAGGACUUCCCACCUGAUGCAAUGGUCCAUAAAAACACUUAAAAAACUCCAGUAAGAAACUGAAACAACCCGUGUGUCUUUUCAUCUGUCAAACAAUUUCGCUUGUUACUUUGAGGAAGGUCUCACAUAUGGGAACACAUCAGGAGAUGCACACAUUUCUUUGCCCUUUAGCACUAACAGGUCUCCAGCUGACAGAUUCCAUAAUGCUAUUAUAACUAUUUAGUGCGUUUUACGAUAAACGUUAAACCUUUUCAGGCUGUAUGCAAGUCUAAAAUUGGUGGAGUGACCCUUUAAAGUCAAAGCCUUGACGUUGUGGACGCGCAAGAGGCAGAAAUGUGAUUCUGUACAACCCAGCUUACUUUUGCACCAUUAUUUUUAC
Oreochromis aureus is the source of this 1900-nucleotide long non-coding RNA. RefSeq lists it as uncharacterized. The transcript has 3 exons. The record is from RefSeq and is a predicted model, not a curated record. NCBI's taxonomy places the organism in Eukaryota, Metazoa, Chordata, Actinopteri, Cichliformes, Cichlidae.